Neopelma chrysocephalum (saffron-crested tyrant-manakin) is the source of this 1045-nucleotide long non-coding RNA. RefSeq lists it as uncharacterized. Lineage: Eukaryota; Metazoa; Chordata; Aves; Passeriformes; Pipridae. The transcript is spliced from 5 exons. The record is from RefSeq and is a predicted model, not a curated record.
CACCCAUGGAGGAGGAGGGAAAGUGGCUCUACUCUGGCUCCUCCGGUAUAAAUAACUCCUACCAGGACCAAAGCUGCAUCAAGGCCCAGGAAAGGUACCCCAAAGACAGAUGGUGACUGAGUUCAGAGCAACUGCCUUAUGACAACCCUCAGCAAAAGCAGCAAGCGAAUGGGACAGUUGGACCAAAAUAAUCCUGCUGGCUACACAGUGCUGCCAUGGAGUACCAGCAGGUUUGCAACCCCUCUUCACUCACCUGCUGUCAAACUCAGUCACGUUGUGCAGCUGUUUCCGGCUGUUUCCCACUGUGGUUUCACUCUGUUGGUGACAGCCAAGGCAAAAUCCCAAGACAUAUCAGGGAUACAGGCAUCAGUCAGCGCAUCAGCUGGGAGGAAGCAGUGAGGGCUGGCUGCUCCAUGGAGGAAGAACCCACCUCUGAGUGAUGACAGGAAAAAUCAACUGCUCAGCAUCGUGCCAUCCUCACUGGUCCCUGAGGAUUUGUGCUAUCCUCACCAGCCCCUGAGGAGAAGAGAGGAAUAGCAUCCACCAGCACCCUUUCUGGACCAAGACUAUGGUGUAUCAAGGUACAGCAGUGUGCUGGGUUCAAAGAUUUUAGUCCAAACUCUGCUUCCAGCUUCUCUCCAGCAAGGCCCUACUGCAGUACAAGAAAUCAGGCUUUAUAAAAGACACAGAGGGCUGUGCCGCAGGCACUGAGACACAGCCAGGCCACAGCUUGUUGGAAGGGAGCACCUCCAUUAGCAUGAAGAAAGAAGAUCCAACAAUGGCAUUUUAGUUUGUGAGCAUCUUAAUGCCUCUGAAACUGCUGGCCCACCUCCUCCUGCCACUGUCUCAGCCCAGCAUGCCUCACCCGUCACCACACGGAUGUAAAGCUGUAAUUGCCAGCGUGGGGAUGGGGGCCCAGGGGAAUUCUCUGAGGCAGUCGGGCUCUCCGGCAGCCUGUCAGCUCCCAGGUCCACAAUGGAAAUUAAUCACCGAAGCUCAAGGAAGCGCACCUUAAAGAAAAAAACAACAAACACCACUGACUAUG